Anolis carolinensis (green anole) is the source of this 2211-nucleotide long non-coding RNA. RefSeq lists it as uncharacterized. The record is from RefSeq and is a predicted model, not a curated record. Lineage: Eukaryota; Metazoa; Chordata; Lepidosauria; Squamata; Anolidae. The transcript has 2 exons.
ACUUUUGGGACUGCAGGAUUAGCAAUCAAUAUGCAGAGAGAAAGAUAGAGCCACCCUCUGCACUUGAACAGCAACUAAGAACCGAGAGACUAUUUUUUGCAAUGGUUGACUAAAUAUGGUCAGGGAAGAGAAAGAGAGAGGCAAGAGAGAGCCUGGGAGUGGAGCUCCCAACUGCUUAGCAGUCUAUAAAGCUGAAACCGUUUUGCUUGUGUUCUGAGUGGCAAAUGGAUCCAACAGAAGGAAUAUGCAUCUAUGAGCCCUGACAUGAACAACAGUUUGACCUCUGAAGAGAGAAGACAGACAAUGGAUGUCUGGAAACACGAAGAAAAUACAACUUCGAAGGAGAAAGAAGCAAUACUCGCGGGAUGGAGGGUGGGGGAAGAAGGGGGGAAGCAUGCUGAAUCUCGAAGGUCUUGUGAACUUUUUAAAAGGUCAUCUUUAAGAGAAAGGCAAAACUGAGUUUAUCCUUCUUUUGGUUUCCUAGCAGCCAUCCUGGAUACUUUGCCUUUGCAGGUACAAAAAACUUUCUCACAUCUGCACCUUAAUAUCUGGAUAAAAAGUAGCAAAGACUUAUUAACACAAUCCAAUAUGCUUGGGCUAUAAGUAUUUUAGAAAGUGAAAUAUAUGUUCAGUUCCACCCCCCCCUCUUCCCACUGCUCCCCCUCCUCCAUAAUGAAGAGCUGAAUCAGCGAAUAGAGUGAACACCCAAGAAGAGAUGGCUGCUGCUGAUGUCUCUCUCUAGGUCAUUACCUUUCUUCCAACCACAAAUGCUGCAUGAUAAGCUUACAGUUUAGGCAGAUGAGAAAAGUACACCACUACACCAAUUUGUGGAAAGAGCACAAACAUAAAAAUGAGAUAAGAUGAAGAACAUGAAAAUUUGUGACAAAUGCAAUAGGUCAAAAUAAAGGAAUGUGUCAGAAGUGACAUAAGGAAUAUAUAACACUUCAACUGUAAGCGGGAGUUGUCUAUUGGAAGCAAUAACAAGAAGUAAACUGGUUGGACAAGACAAGGGGGCAUGAAGUGGAGACAAGAGAAGUGUAGAUGAAGACUGAAAAAACAAGGGUCAAGAUCUGACAGCAUGGGAAAAUACUGAUAAUCUCUAUGUCAAAACACUGCAGUCUUUUCAGUCGUUACUCAAUGAGUUCCUAUCCCAUCACCAUUUUCUCCAUGUUCCUUCUCAGCGCAAAUACAUAUCAAACAUAAACCUUGAUCAGGGGAGGUAAAAUUUCUAGAAAAAAUUACGAAUGGAAAAAAUGCAAGUUUUCCUCUCAACAACACCCCAAGGAUGUGGAAAUCUAGAAGGUAAAACAAAAUAGGGUUGUGGGUUUCUUUAGGCUUUUCAACUUUGGUGGAGGUUCUGUGCCCCAACCCCAGCAAAUCUGGAGUAUACUAUAUAAUAUUCAAACUCUCCAGAAGUUUUUAUCAGUCUCAGACUAAAAAUCCAAAAAAACCCCAUAUUUAGUGACAACAUGGGUUGACAUAUACAGAAUUGUACUACAUACUAUCAAUCUUUCUUUAUCCUUUUGAAGCAGCUUGCAGAAACACACAAUAGAAUUGAAAUGUGCAGCUUUCCAAAAAUUAAUUAGAAAUAUCCAUAUUCAACUAUUCUUCUAAUAAAUUUCUCAACAUAUGAAGUAUGCAACUACCUUUCCAUUAAUUCAAAAAGCAGAAUUUUAAAAAGGAGGGUUUUUAUGCAUUAAGGAAAAGCUUCUGCAAGUUUAACAAGAUACUUUUAUUGCAUGUUAUUAUCUUAAAGACAUUUUAAACAUUUCAAAUCACAUAGAGAGACUAAGAUUCUAACUUACCACCAGAUGCAUUGCUUAUAGCAGAGCCUGCUGAUGCUACUUUUGAAACAGCUGCUGGAUUAUAUGUCCAAGAAGUUCCACAAACCUCUACUUUUAAAUCACUGUCUGAAUAGAUCUGCUGGACCCUUCCAACUUUACCUAAAGUCUAAAGACAAAUCCCAAUACAUAUGAUUUAUUUUGAAAAGCUGGAGAAGUACACUUAUCUGCACUAAUGUUGAUACAUUUUUUCUAGUUUGGCCAGGUUUUCCAGUUCAGUCAAGAAAUUUAUUUAUUUAUUAUGUUUAUUUAUAUCCUGUUUUUUGUCUCCAUACGAAGACUCAAAACGGCUCACAGUUAAAAAUAAGGUAAUAGCUAAAAAACUGCACUGUGUGUAACUUUAUAAUAAAUGUUUUGAUCUGUUCUAUUA